CCGAAACACCCGCCCGCUCGGGGUGGGUGUCCGCCGGGUGGAGCCCGGCGCUGACGAG
RNAcentral lists this non-coding RNA (58 nucleotides) under Micromonosporaceae bacterium. Lineage: Bacteria; Bacillati; Actinomycetota; Actinomycetes; Micromonosporales; Micromonosporaceae. The record is from RNAcentral.